CUCAAAGCAAAUAAUAUUUACUCAUUGUUGAGUGCCUACCAUCUACCAAGUCCUUUAUAUGUAUCUUUGGAAUCUUCAGUCCUAUGAAAUGGAAACCAUAUCUUACUUCUAUUUACCUAAGGGCAUACAGCCAAUAAGGGCAAAACUAAGAAUUGACUUGACUGUCAGUCAUGUCUGACUCAACAGUUGUCUUGUGAAUGAGAUGGAUCAUAAAGUGAAGUGAUAUCAAUCAAGAGAAAUAGCCAUCACAUUGGAGCCAACAGACCUGGAUUAUUAUGCAAACUCACUGAGCCUCAGCUUCCUCAUCUUAAACCCCUCCACAGAGUCCUGUACCGUGAUGCUGACAAGGUGAAGAUGAAGUUAGUGAGCUCUUCUUAACGCGCCGCCGUGCUCUGUGAUAGGUCUUUGAAAACAAAGAUAAAUAUGAUACGGCUUUCAUUUCCCAGAAGUUCACAGAUUAGUGCCCCGAAGUACACAGUUACAUAACGGACAGGAAGGCCUGGGACUUCAGCGAAGGAUGACCUCGGGAACCGUGCGGUGGCCAGCUCUCAAUCUGGCCCUGCACUCAGGGGACCACUGCCGCCCGUCACGUAUGUUAUUGAGAAAAUGUUACCGAGAAACGUGAGAAAAAUGUUGUUCCUGCUCAUCAGCACAAGGACUUCCAGACCUGUCCCGCCAAGCAGCAUCCCCGACGACCGCAGGUUUUCCACUCUGUACGUGGCGCCCUUUCCAAGCCGUCCCCUCUGCCUCAGCAGAGGGAGCAGAAAUAAAAUAGUCCUGAAUCCAGAAGGCAAGUCCUACUUGGUCUCCAAUUCACUUAUCUUGACCGGUGAAGAGUUUAACUCUAGGACUAUGCCAGGCACUCUCUGGAUGGGCUUCUUC
This 882-nucleotide long non-coding RNA is filed under the name Equus caballus (horse). RNAcentral's name for it is "lncRNA (ENSECAG00000049669.1)". Lineage: Eukaryota; Metazoa; Chordata; Mammalia; Perissodactyla; Equidae. The record is from RNAcentral.